GAUGAACGCUGGCGGCGUGCCUAAUACAUGCAAGUCGAGCGAACAGAUGAGGAGCUUGCUCCUCUGACGUUAGCGGCGGACGGGUGAGUAACACGUGGAUAACCUACCUAUAAGACUGGGAUAACUUCGGGAAACCGGAGCUAAUACCGGAUAAUAUAUUGAACCGCAUGGUUCAAUAGUGAAAGACGGUUUUGCUGUCACUUAUAGAUGGAUCCGCGUCGGAUUAGCUAGUUGGUAAGGUAACGGCUUACCAAGGCAACGAUGCGUAGCCGACCUGAGAGGGUGAUCGGCCGCACUGGAACUGAGACACGGUCCAGACUCCUACGGGAGGCAGCAGUAGGGAAUCUUGCGCAAUGGGCGAAAGCCUGACGGAGCAACGCCGCGUGAGUGAUGAAGGUCUUCGGAUCGUAAAACUCUGUUAUUAGGGAAGAACAAAUGUGUAAGUAACUAUGCACGUCUUGACGGUACCUAAUCAGAAAGCCACGGCUAACUACGUG
RNAcentral lists this ribosomal RNA (497 nucleotides) under uncultured bacterium. RNAcentral describes it as "partial 16S ribosomal RNA". It matches the Rfam family "Bacterial small subunit ribosomal RNA", at positions 28 to 507 of the family's 1533-position model. The record is from RNAcentral.